Molecule: ribosomal RNA, 456 nt
Filed under: uncultured Hyphomicrobiales bacterium
Lineage: Bacteria; Pseudomonadati; Pseudomonadota; Alphaproteobacteria; Hyphomicrobiales
Description: bacterial SSU rRNA
Rfam family: Bacterial small subunit ribosomal RNA
Source: RNAcentral
AGAGUUUGAUCCUGGCUCAGAACGAACGCUGGCGGCAGGCUUAACACAUGCAAGUCGAACGCUCAUCUUCGGGUGGGAGUGGCAGACGGGUGAGUAACGCGUGGGAACGUACCCUUUGGUUCGGAACAACGCCGGGAAACUGGCGCUAAUACCGGAUACGCCCUUUUGGGGAAAGGCUUGACUGCCGAAGGAGCGGCCCGCGUUCGAUUAGCUUGUUGGUGGGGUAACGGCCCACCAAGGCGACGAUCGAUAGCUGGUCUGAGAGGAUGGCCAGCCACAUUGGGACUGAGACACGGCCCAAACUCCUACGGGAGGCGGCAGUGGGGAAUAUUGGACAAUGGGCGCAAGCCUGAUCCAGCCAUGCCGCGUGAGUGAUGACGGCCUUAGGGUUGUAAAGCUCUUUCGCACGCGACGAUAAUGACGGUGGCGUGAGAAGAAGCCCCGGCUAACUUCGUG